CCUACGGGAGGCAGCAGUGAGGAAUAUUGGUCAAUGGACGAGAGUCUGAACCAGCCAAGUAGCGUGAAGGAUGACUGCCCUAUGGGUUGUAAACUUCUUUUAUAUGGGAAUAAAACAGGGUAUGCAUACCAUCUUGUAUGUACCAUAUGAAUAAGGAACGGCUAACUCCGUGCCAGCAGCCGCGGUAAUACGGAGGAUCCGAGCGUUAUCCGGAUUUAUUGGGUUUAAAGGGAGCGUAGGUGGAUUGUUAAGUCAGUUGUGAAAGUUUGCGGCUCAACCGUAAGAUUGCAGUUGAAACUGGCAGUCUUGAGUACAGUAGAGGUGAGCGGAAUUCGUGGUGUAGCGGUGACAUGCUUAGAUAUCACGAAGAACUCCGAUUGCGAAGGCAGCUCACUGGACUGCAACUGACACUGAUGCUCGAAAGUGUGGGUAUCAAACAGGAUUAGAUACCCGAGUAGUC
RNAcentral lists this ribosomal RNA (460 nucleotides) under uncultured bacterium. RNAcentral describes it as "partial 16S ribosomal RNA". It matches the Rfam family "Bacterial small subunit ribosomal RNA", at positions 338 to 795 of the family's 1533-position model. The record is from RNAcentral.